Molecule: ribosomal RNA, 526 nt
Filed under: uncultured bacterium
Lineage: Bacteria
Description: bacterial SSU rRNA
Rfam family: Bacterial small subunit ribosomal RNA
Source: RNAcentral
AGUCAAUAGAUACCCUGGUAGUCCUAGCCCUAAACGGUGCACGUUUGCUGUAAAAGGAAUCGACCCCUUUGUUGGCGAAAGACUAAACGCGAUAAACGUAGCCGCCUGGGGAGGUACGGUCGCAAGAUUAAAACUACAAAGAAAAUUAGACGGGGGCCGUGCACAAGCGGUGGAGUAUGUGGCUUAAUUACGAUGCAACGCGAAGAACCUUACCCUGGCCUUGACAUGCAAGUGGUAGAACCAUGAAAGUAGGGACGAUCCCGCAAGGGAAGCUUGCACAGGUGCUGCAUGGCUGUCGUCAGCUCGUGUCGUGAGAUGUUGGGUUAAGUCCCGCAACGAGCGCAACCCUUGUGUCCUGUUGCCACUUCCUCGAGAGAGGAAAGCACUCUGGACAGACUGCCUCGCUUAAACCGGGGGUAGGAAGGUGGGGAUGACGUCAAGUCAGUAUGGCCCUUACGGGCCAGGGCUGCACACGUACUACAAUGCCCGAUACAGAGGGAAGCAAGACCCGUCAGGUGGAGCAAAU